This 483-nucleotide ribosomal RNA is filed under the name uncultured bacterium. Its description in RNAcentral is "partial 16S ribosomal RNA". It matches the Rfam family "Bacterial small subunit ribosomal RNA", at positions 28 to 523 of the family's 1533-position model. The record is from RNAcentral.
GAUGAACGCUGGCGGCGUGCCUAAUACAUGCAAGUCGAGCGAACCACUUCGGUGGUGAGCGGCGAACGGGUGAGUAACACGUAGGUAAUCUGCACAUCAGACGGGGACAACGAUUGGAAACGAUCGCUAAUACCGGAUAGGACGAAAGUUUAAAGGUGCUUCUGGCACCGCUGAUGGAUGAGCCUGCGGCGCAUUAGCUAGUUGGUAGGGUAAAGGCCUACCAAGGCGACGAUGCGUAGCCGACCUGAGAGGGUGAACGGCCAAACUGGGACUGAGACACGGCCCAGACUCCUACGGGAGGCAGCAGUAGGGAAUCUUCGGCAAUGGGCGAAAGCCUGACCGAGCAACGCCGCGUGAAUGAUGAAGGCCUUCGGGUUGUAAAAUUCUGUUAUAAGGGAAGAACGACUUUAGUAGGAAAUGGCUAGAGUGUGACGGUACCUUAUGAGAAAGCCACGGCUAACUACGUGCCAGCCGCCGCAGUAA